This 253-nucleotide ribosomal RNA is filed under the name uncultured bacterium. RNAcentral describes it as "partial 16S ribosomal RNA". It matches the Rfam family "Bacterial small subunit ribosomal RNA", at positions 524 to 776 of the family's 1533-position model. The record is from RNAcentral.
UACGUAGGUGGCGAGCGUUGUCCGGAUUUACUGGGCGUAAAGGGAGCGUAGGCGGACUUUUAAGUGAGAUGUGAAAUACUCGGGCUCAACUUGAGUGCUGCAUUUCAAACUGGAAGUCUAGAGUGCAGGAGAGGAGAAUGGAAUUCCUAGUGUAGCGGUGAAAGGCGUAGAGAUUAGGAAGAACACCAGUGGCGAAGGCGAUUCUCUGGACUGUAACUGACGCUGAGGCUCGAAAGCGUGGGGAGCAAACAGG